Molecule: ribosomal RNA, 335 nt
Filed under: uncultured Planctomycetales bacterium
Lineage: Bacteria; Pseudomonadati; Planctomycetota; Planctomycetia; Planctomycetales
Description: bacterial SSU rRNA
Rfam family: Bacterial small subunit ribosomal RNA
Source: RNAcentral
CUAAGGCUCCAGAGGAAGCCACGGCUAACUCUGUGCCAGCAGCCGCGGUAAUACAGAGGCGGCAAGCGUUGAUCGGAAUUAUUGGGCGUAAAGAGCACGUAGGCGGCCUUGCAAGUCAGUUGUGAAAGCCUUCCGCUUAACGGAAGAAUGCCAGCUGAUACUACAGGGCUUGAGUACGGGAGGGGAGAGUGGAACUUCUGGUGGAGCGGCGAAAUGCGUAGAUAUCAGAAGGAACGCCGGCGGCGAAAGCGACUCUCUGGCCCGAAACCGACGCUGAGUGUGCGAAAGCUAGGGGAGCAAACGGGAUUAGAUGCCCCGGUAGUCCUAGCCGUAAA